GCCCGGUUAGCUCAAUCGGUAGAGCGUGAGACUCUUAUGACACGAGAUUAAUCUCAAGGUUGCGGGUUCGACCCCCGCAUCGGGCU
Molecule: non-coding RNA, 86 nt
Organism: Xylaria sp. CBS 124048
Lineage: Eukaryota; Fungi; Ascomycota; Sordariomycetes; Xylariales; Xylariaceae
Source: the annotation of a GenBank genome assembly